AGCAGUAGCCACGGUAAUACAGAGGGUGCGAGCGUUAAUCGGAUUUACUGGGCGUAAAGCGUGCGUAGGCGGCUUUUUAAGUCGGAUGUGAAAUCCCUGAGCUUAACUUAGGAAUUGCAUUCGAUACUGGGAAGCUAGAGUAUGGGAGAGGAUGGUAGAAUUCCAGGUGUAGCGGUGAAAUGCGUAGAGAUCUGGAGGAAUACCGAUGGCGAAGGCAGCCAUCUGGCCUAAUACUGACGCUGAGGUACGAAAGCAUGGGGAGCAAACAGGAUUAGAUACCCGAGUAGUCCCUGUCUCUUAUAA
RNAcentral lists this ribosomal RNA (303 nucleotides) under uncultured bacterium. Its description in RNAcentral is "partial 16S ribosomal RNA". It matches the Rfam family "Bacterial small subunit ribosomal RNA", at positions 507 to 809 of the family's 1533-position model. The record is from RNAcentral.